This 107-nucleotide small nuclear RNA is filed under the name Mandrillus leucophaeus (drill). Lineage: Eukaryota; Metazoa; Chordata; Mammalia; Primates; Cercopithecidae. The record is from RNAcentral.
GUGCUCGCUUUGGCAGCACAUAUACUAAAAUUGGAACGAUACAGAGAAGAUUAGCAUGGCCCCUGCACAAGGAUGACAUGCAAAUUCAUGAAGCGUUCCAUAUUUUU